ACAUUCUUUGGCACUGCCCUUCUUUAGGAUCAGAAUAAAAACUCACCUUUUCCAAUCCUGUGGCCAUCAGCAAAAGGUUUUGUAGCCUCAGCUCUGGGGGUUUAAUUCAGAGCUCUUUUGUCUUCUUCAAAAUGUUGCUACUGACCUGUUUGGGAUCCUAUAACAUCAUAUUUCUGUAAUUCUGUUUUACCCCAUAAAGUGAGGGGUAGGAUCAAGAUUUUAACUCAUUGAGUCUAUGGUGGGAGUAUUUCAAGUAGGAAAUGAAACCAGCGUGUCUUGCUGGAUGUAGAGAGUAGUUUGAGGCAUUAUUUGUUGGAAAGAAGCUCUGCCAGGAGAGGAGUUUCCAGGGACCUGGCCUCUGCCUCUGGCUACUCCAUGACCUCUCCCAUUCUAAGUAUGGCUGGGCCAGCCCUGAGCAUGUACUUGUGUAAUGAGAAGGUUCUCUUGCCAACUCUUUGGUUCCUCUGAAUCAAGAGAGACAGGAUAAGUGCUCAUUUCUUUUUUUCUUUCCCAGGUUUUAAAAUGAGUUAAUUUUCUAGUAUCAUCCAAAGACUUUUUAAUUUUUUUUUUUAGCGUUUAAAAAUUUUUAAAGGAUUGUUGUUAACUUAUGAAUUUAAACAUAUCUUAUAUGUUCUAAUCCAUCUUAACUAAAGAUGCUCAUGUUAUCCCAUCUUUUGCAAGAAAGAACACUUCAUGGUAGAUCUUGAAUCCUUUCUUUCUACAAGCCUUCAGUGGUUUUGGAGCACUUGCUUGAUAACUGAUAUGACAAGAUAUUCCAGCUCCAUCUUCAAUCUUCAAAUACAUCUGACAAUUUCUCACCACCUCUACGGCUACCACCAGCUUCCAGCGACCAUUAUCUUUUGCUUGGAUUAUUGCAGUAGCUUCCUAACUGGUCUCCAUGGCUGAUCUUCUAUCAUCGAUCAUCGCAAAGCAAUCAGAAUAAUGUAAGUCAAAUCAUUCCUCUGCUCAAAACCCUCCAAAGGAUUCCCAUCUCUCAGUAAAAUUCAGACGUUUUACCAUGGUCUGCCAGAACAUGGUGUACAUUUCCACCAUCUAUCUCACCACCUUCUCAUCUUGUUACCAAGGCCAAGGUCAUACUGCUUGCCUCAUGCCAGGCCAAUAGAUCGAGAGAGGGAUUGUUGGGGCAAGGAAUAGCGACUUUAUUUAGAAAGCCAGCAGACCGGGAAGGUGGUGGGCUAGUGUCCCGAAACCGUAUUACCUGAGUUAGAAUUUGGGGCUUCUGAAAGGAGAGGCAGGUGGCUGGUUGUUGCAUACUUCUUGAUGCAGGGAUCCUUUAUGACUGCCACUGUCCACAUAGGUGUGGCUACAGUGUUCCUGUAAACCUCCAAGAAGACAGGUGCUAUUUUAUGUUCUUCAACUUUUUAAAAGUCAGAGCCUUGAGACUGGACUAUUCUGUGUUUUUCAGGCUAUAGGCAACACUUGUUCACAAAGGCGCAGCGCCAGCGUGACUGUGCACAGGCAAAGAGCACAGGAGUUGGAGCUAAAGGAGUAGAUCCAAUGAGUCAGGGUUGUUUUUCUCUCUUAGACCGUCUCAUCUACCUCUGCCCCCUCACUUAUAUUGUUACAGCCACACUUGCUUUCUUUUUAUUCCUUGAUUAUAACAAUCCCAUCCCCACCUUUGGGCCUUUGGAUCUGCUGUUUCCUCAUUGAUGUGAGAAGGGUAAUGCUUUUGAGAAAUCAGUGUAUUGAGAAAGAGAACAAAGAACCGGGUAAAUAAAGCAGGCUCUCCCAUUUUCCCAUGCCUACGUACUUUCCCUCUGAGGUUCAGAGGCUUGAUCCUAUCUGAAAUGACCUCUUUACUAUCCUGUGCACCAACCCAGAUCUUCUCCACCCUGAAGAUUCAGCCCAGGCUUCCCCUACAUCCAUGUCCAUGCCAUCCCUGACCCUUGCCAUCCAAAGACCAUUUUACAAAAAUCAUCACAGACUACCAAAGGCAGUCUGGUUCUGGGUAAAUUCUCUUUUAAGGUGUGAGCUCUGGUCUAGACUUGAUGCUAAAUUCUUUGAAGAUGCUUCUCAACCUUGGUUGCAUACUGGAGUCACCCAGGAGCUUUCAGAAAUGUUUUAUCUGUGUCCCACCCCCGAGAUUCUGAUUUAAUGGGCCUGGGUGUGUGUCCAGGGCAUCAGAAUCUUUCCAACUUCCUCAGGUAAUUCUAUCGUGCCAACAUUUUAAGAACCAUCAGCUUUCCUGCAAGGACUCUCUCUCUGCAGGUAGUUUAAAUUAUUAUGGAUUCUUGAUUAGUUUAUAAAAUAAAGAAAAGGGAACAUGCUACUGCUUGUCAAAGGCUGCUGAAGCUUCAAGUCCGAAGUACACAGAUAUUAACAGGUUUGAUCUGUAGGGUCGUUAGAUUCUUGCUUUUCAAAAUGUGGUCCAUGGGUCAGUAGAACAUCAUUACCAGGAGCCUGUUAGAAGUGUGAAAACUCAAGCCCCGCCCCUCCUCCAAUCUUGAGAACUGUGUAACUUUCAGUACAAAUGAUUUUGUCCAGCCCCCACAUUAGGAGACCCGAACAAAACUAUGCUCCCUAGCAUAGUUUUUAGCACUCAAGGUUUCUUGGGGAGAUCCAGCCCCCUGAGUCCUUGCCUGGGGAAGCUCAAGGCUGUCAAAAGAAUUUACCCAUUGCUCCAGCCAAACAUCUGACCAUAGGCCUCUGACCUACAUUUUCUUUUUUUUUAGUUGAUGUAUACUUUAUUUUUUAAAACUUUUUAUUUAAUAUUGGAGUAUAGCUGAAUGACAACAUGGUGAUAUUUUCAGGUGGACAGCAAACGGACUCCAUUUUCUUCCUUUUGCUUUUUGUGACCUCCCUUUCCUUAGAGCAUUUACUUUAAAAAAAAAAGAAAAAAAAAACCCUCACAACUGUAAAUGCUCUCUGUCCCUUUAAGAUGUGUAUGUUAUCUCCUGAAACCCAGGAGUAUCUUCCUUAAGGACCUGGGGGCAUCCCUCUGAAAUGUCCUCAGCAAGACAGAUAGGGCUCCAUCUUCCAGUCUCUGUGGAAGGAUGGAAACCUAACCUGCUGAACGAGCCAGUUAGCAGAGACAGCCUGAUCACAGUGAUCAGUCCCCCCACCUGCCGUUUGUAAUUUUCCACCACUUUGACUUUGUUCAAAUCCCAGCUCAUCUCCCCUCCCACUCCUUCAUGUUCCCUUUAAAAUUCCAGUCACCUUUGUGCAUAGCCUGGCUGAAUUCAGUUCUGCACUGAAGCCUCUGCCCUAACUGUAGGGGUUACCAAGUAAACUCCAUCUACACUGCCUUUAACUAGUGUUUGGCUUUUCUCUAACCUUACUCAUUUAACAAGAUCUUUAGGUGAUUUGCAUGUAUAUGAAAGUUGGAGAAGUACCGUUUCGUAUUUAUCAUUCCCUCAAUGACUUGUAAUAAACAGCCCUCAAUGACAGAUAGGAAUUACUAUGCCCAUUCUGCGAUUGAGAGCCUAAGGUCAGAGCUUUGCUUAAAGUCACACGGUUAAACUAGAACUUGAGCUCACCUCAUAACUCAGUCCAGUGCUCAUUCCAUAAUGCCAUGCUGAUUGGGGAGAGAAGACACAACGCAUGCGAGGACCCAGGAGUGAAACAGCUGAUGAAGAAGAUCACAAUAAGGUUGGUUCCUCUCCAGGCAUCCAUUUCAGCGACAUCUUGCAAGGCUCUGCUUUUCUUCGGUUGUAUGAGAACUGUUUCAGAAUCAAGUGUCUCCUAGGCACCAAAGAAUUCUCAUCUGGAAAAUCCUAUCAUUACCUGGAGUCCCAGGGGUCACAGCUAAUAGGGGAUGAGUCACUGUGUUGACCCUCUACAAGUACUGAAGAGCGCUGCCUCCAAGCCCAGCACCUCAUGGGCUACUGCACACACCAUACAGCCACCACAUGAAGUCAGACCCAGUCCUGGUCUUAGUCCUGAACUAGCCAACCCUCCUCACUGUACGCUCAGUGCUGAUAUGCCUCCCUUCCCAGCUUUAUGUCCACCCUCCAUCUUCAUUUCUUGCUUUCCUGGAUAAACACUGACUCCCUUCUUCCUGGCAGGUUUGGCCCCUUAGGUAAAUUCAGUAGUUCCCCCUUAUCCAUGGUUUUGCUUUCCACCCUUUCAGCUGCCUGAAGUCAACUGCCCUCUGAAAAUAUUAAAUGGAAAAUUUCAGAAAAAAAAAUUCUGAAGUUUUAAAUUGGACACCGUUCUGAGUAGCAUGAUGAAAUCUUGCUCUGCCCCGCUGUCCUGCGUGGGAUGCACAAGCAUCCACAUCAUCUGCUUCUGGCAUCCAAACCCCACACUGUCAUGGCUCAGUGAUCCAGGAUCACCUGAAGCAGAUAGAUGAUCCUUCUUCUUACUUACUGUUGGGUCAGCAGUCGCCUGACCCUACAGUGCCUACGUCAUUCACCUCAUUUCAUCUCAGCACAUACCAUCUCAGCAUCACAAGGAGGAUAAGUAUAGCACAUUAAGAUACUUUGAGAGAGACCACAGUCAUGUAACUUUUAUCAGAGUAUAAUUUUCCUAUUUUAUUAUUGUUUUUAAUCUCUUGUCUAAUUUAUACUUUAUAAUAGGUAUGCAUGUAUAGGAAAAAACACGGUAUACAUAGGGUUCAGUGUCUUCCAUGUUUUCAGGCAGCCAGAGGGGUUCUUGGAACAUAUACAUGUAGAGGGGGACCACUGUACUCCUCUUCUCUGGACUCCCAUCGCUGCCUUCCUACUCCUGGGCUGGUCUGGUGCCCUGAGCAGACUCUCUAGGGCAGAGUCCCCUUCAGGCUUUUGUGGACAUCAUACUCACACGACAAAAUUUCAAACAUAACAAACUAAUGAGUUAAGUUACAUUUCAUCUUCUCUGUCCUUUUUUCCCUUCAGUUACCAAAUUAGGCCAAAAGACCAUCAAUAAGAAAGCAACUACCAAUUUUAAAUGCCAAGUCAUUUCUCUAGAAAAGACAGAAAAUCACUCACGUGAAUGACAGGAUGAACUUUUCUGGUCAUUUGGAAAUCUCCUAGAUCAUUAGAACGAGGGGAACUCCUUUACCAACCAUACCCCAUACACAUGCAGAGUACUGAUUUUUCACAUUCAGUGUCUUUGACACCAAUGAUUUAAUAAAUUCAGCCAUUAUUAUGGUAAAUAUUUUUAUUGUUAGUUUUAUCAGAAAUGUGUAUAUAUGGACAAUUUUUGAUGCUUAAUUUUAUUAGAACCAGAACCAUGCUUUCUAGAAGAUCGUUCCUUCUAGAAAAUCAAAUUUCCAAGAUUAGAAUGGAAGACAAUGAGAAAAUAGAUUUCACUUUAUUAUUUACCUUUGUGAUGUGUCAUCCAAAGCACAUUAAUUCUUUUAUGUAUUACUUUAACAUUAUAAAAUAAAUCAUUCAUUAUUACUGUGAAAACAUGAGCCCAAAACUUUGUAUCUUUAAUCAAGUCAAUCAUCAACUUUUCUAAGAUUUUUAAAGACAUGAAGAUAAAAAUCAUUUCAAAUAAUAGCACUCAAACGCCAUGUACAUUUGUGAUGAAGUGUAACAGUCAACUUUAAGCCUCAGAUUUUCCAGGUUUUAGCUGAAAUAAGCCUUAUUAGCUUCUUAGAUUUUUAUCAGUCUUGUUUGGGGGCUUAUUAGACCUUAUUUUGCCUUAUGAGACCUACACAGAGUACAAUAUUAAAAUAUGUUAAUGGUCUAUACU
This is a long non-coding RNA of Bubalus bubalis (water buffalo), 5640 nucleotides long. RefSeq lists it as uncharacterized. The transcript is spliced from 2 exons. Lineage: Eukaryota; Metazoa; Chordata; Mammalia; Artiodactyla; Bovidae. The record is from RefSeq and is a predicted model, not a curated record.